Mauremys mutica (yellowpond turtle) is the source of this 304-nucleotide long non-coding RNA. RefSeq lists it as uncharacterized. The transcript is spliced from 3 exons. Lineage: Eukaryota; Metazoa; Chordata; Testudines; Geoemydidae. The record is from RefSeq and is a predicted model, not a curated record.
ACAGCACAGAACUAAAGGAAUAACUGACAGCAAGAUAAGAUUGUCAUCCUCUGUUUGGACCAGCCACUAACAGGACUACGUUAACAUGAAAUAGAAGAGCUGGAACCUUCCCCCAGAUUUCAGUGGAUGUCUGGAUUUGGGGAAGAGGUCCAGACUUGAGGGCAAUCUACCCUUUCCUUUCCCUGUUGAAAUGCCACUAUGGUAAUAGCCUCACUGACAGACAUGGCGGGCUCUUCCCAUGAAAAUGAACAUCAUCAGGUUGGACAUUCCCACUGGAUUCUCUAUCUGAUUCCAUAGAAGGCUG